UACGUAGGGGGCAAGCGUUGUCCGGAUUUAUUGGGCGUAAAGAGCUCGUAGGUGGUUCGGUAAGUCGGAUGUGAAAUCUCCAGGCUCAACCUGGAGGGGUCAUUCGAUACUGCCGUGACUAGAGUUCGGUAGGGGAGUGUGGAAUUCCUGGUGGAGCGGUGAAAUGCGCAGAUAUCAGGAGGAACACCCGUAGCGAAGGCGGCACUCUGGGCCGAUACUGACACUGAGGAGCGAGAGCGUGGGGAGCGAACAGG
This 254-nucleotide ribosomal RNA is filed under the name uncultured bacterium. Its description in RNAcentral is "partial 16S ribosomal RNA". It matches the Rfam family "Bacterial small subunit ribosomal RNA", at positions 524 to 776 of the family's 1533-position model. The record is from RNAcentral.